UGCCCCAAGCCCAGCGCACUGCGGUCCGCCCCGCCGCACCGCCUGAUGAGUGUUUUGCAGGCGUAGGGCGGGAAGCGCCAGCGGUGCGGGAAGGCGAGGGUCAUUCCCAGUACCCGCCCCCCGUGCUGCAUUCUGCGCAAGUAGGAAACGGCGGAAGAGGUCUGAGUCCUGUGCUGUUCAGCAGGGAAGCAUGGUCUCCGCUCAGCUGUCCGUGCACAAUGGACUCAGUACCUGCCGCCGUGCCUUCUGUCGCCGCUUCUCCCGGGACCCCGAGCUUCUGGGACCCCGGGCUUCUGGGACCCCUAACGGUACUCUACGCAGCCCUCGUAGGGAGGGACCCCGCUGUGGCCGGCGGGUGGCUGAGUGGUGAGCGGAAUGGCUGCACUGACUGAAGGCGACGGGGAAUUGGAGCGUGUCAGGCCCGGGCAGCCAGCACCGAGCUGUAUUGCUAAGCGAGCCGCUAGUUGCCACAUUGCCCAAUGGUGUUCAGCCUGGACCUGAUUUUUAUGGACUGCCGGGGAAGCCUGUACUUCUCACUGUCUUCUUGGGAAUUGUUUCAUUUGCCAUUUUCUUCUGGAGAACUAUUCUUGUUGUCAAAGAAACAAUAUAUCAAGGUAAAUUUUUAGCCUUCUUCUGUAACUUUUAGUAACCCUUUGUAUUUGUGUUUGAUGUGUGUUUUAUAUAUGUUAGAAGUAGAUAGUAAUUGUUGAUGUGUCUUAUUUUUCUAACUCCUAAAAAUUUUACUA
Long non-coding RNA from Sciurus carolinensis (gray squirrel), 746 nucleotides. RefSeq lists it as uncharacterized. The record is from RefSeq and is a predicted model, not a curated record. The transcript has 3 exons. NCBI's taxonomy places the organism in Eukaryota, Metazoa, Chordata, Mammalia, Rodentia, Sciuridae.